Eptesicus fuscus (big brown bat) is the source of this 309-nucleotide long non-coding RNA. RefSeq lists it as uncharacterized. NCBI's taxonomy places the organism in Eukaryota, Metazoa, Chordata, Mammalia, Chiroptera, Vespertilionidae. The transcript is spliced from 3 exons. The record is from RefSeq and is a predicted model, not a curated record.
CCCAGACAGAGGGAGAAGCUUGUGCAAAGUAAUGAAGAUAGCAGAGAAGAAAAAUGUGGUGAAAAUGGGAAGAAAAGGAAAUACCAGUGCUUCAGCCAUUCUGACAUGGGCUCAGCUUCCUCUCCUCCAGCAUCCUCCUUUGUCUGAAUUCACAUGCCCUGUGAGCUACCAGGAAGAAACCAAGGGAGACUCAUGUGGAAAUGAAGAUGGUGGAACCACAGUUGGAAAGAGCUUGAGUCCCUGAAUCCCAGCCUAGAGGAGAUCCACCUGCUUGCUGAUCGGGAACACCUGAUGGGAAAUAAACUUCUA